AUUGAACGCUGGUGGCAGGCCUAACACAUGCAAGUCGAGCGGAUGAAGGGAGCUUGCUCCUGGAUUCAGCGGCGGACGGGUGAGUAAUGCCUAGGAAUCUGCCUGGUAGUGGGGGAUAACGUCCGGAAACGGGCGCUAAUACCGCAUACGUCCUGAGGGCGAAAGGGGGGGAUCUUCGGACCUCACGCUAUCAGAUGAGCCUAGGUCGGAUUAGCUAGUUGGUGGGGUAAAGGCCUACCAAGGCGACGAUCCGUAACUGGUCUGAGAGGAUGCUCAGUCACACUGGAACUGAGACACGGUCCAGACUCCUACGGGAGGCAGCAGUGGGGAAUAUUGGACAAAGGGCGAAAGCCUGAUCCAGCCAUGCCGCGUGUGUGAAGAAGGUCUUCGGAUUGUAAAGCACUUUAAGUUGGGAGGAAGGGCAGUAAGUUAAUACCUUGCUGUUUUGACGUUACCAACAGAAUAAGCACCGGCUAACUUCGUG
This 484-nucleotide ribosomal RNA is filed under the name uncultured bacterium. Its description in RNAcentral is "partial 16S ribosomal RNA". It matches the Rfam family "Bacterial small subunit ribosomal RNA", at positions 30 to 507 of the family's 1533-position model. The record is from RNAcentral.